ACCAGCAGCUAAAUCACCCUGCAACUCACUGCCAACCCACUGAAGCUCAGCAGGUGUGAGCCUGGUCAGUACCUGGAUGGGAGACCUCCUGGGAAAGGUUGCUGCUGGAA
Molecule: ribosomal RNA, 110 nt
Filed under: Lepisosteus oculatus (spotted gar)
Lineage: Eukaryota; Metazoa; Chordata; Actinopteri; Semionotiformes; Lepisosteidae
Source: RNAcentral